UACAGAGGUCCCGAGCGUUGUUCGGAUUCAUUGGGCGUAAAGGGUGCGUAGGCGGCUAGGUAAGUCAGAUGUGAAAUUCCAGGGCUCAACCUUGGAACUGCAUUUGAUACUGCCUGGCUUGAGUACUGGAGAGGAAACUGGAAUUCACGGUGUAGCAGUGAAAUGCGUAGAUAUCGUGAGGAAGACCAGUGGCGAAAGCGAGUUUCUGGACAGUUACUGACGCUGAGGCACGAAGGCCAGGGGAGCAAACGGG
Molecule: ribosomal RNA, 253 nt
Filed under: uncultured bacterium
Lineage: Bacteria
Description: partial 16S ribosomal RNA
Rfam family: Bacterial small subunit ribosomal RNA
Source: RNAcentral